Molecule: unclassified non-coding RNA, 180 nt
Filed under: Glomus indicum
Lineage: Eukaryota; Fungi; Glomeromycota; Glomeromycetes; Glomerales; Glomeraceae
Also listed under: 2 other names
Description: partial internal transcribed spacer region
Rfam family: Eukaryotic small subunit ribosomal RNA (bases 1-46)
Source: RNAcentral
AAGUCGUAACAAGGUUUCCGUAGGUGAACCUGCGGAAGGAUCAUUACCAAUAUAGCGAACCGAGCGUUAGCGAGGCUUCGCGAUCAAAUUUGUAUUUAAAACCCAACUCUUUAAAUGUAUAUAUUAUUAUUGUAUUUUAAAUAAUAAAGAUCACUUUCAACAACGGAUCUCUUGGCUCUC